This 653-nucleotide ribosomal RNA is filed under the name uncultured Pseudonocardineae bacterium. RNAcentral describes it as "bacterial SSU rRNA". It matches the Rfam family "Bacterial small subunit ribosomal RNA", at positions 95 to 747 of the family's 1533-position model. Lineage: Bacteria; Bacillati; Actinomycetota; Actinomycetes; Pseudonocardiales. The record is from RNAcentral.
GUGGCGAACGGGUGAGUAACACGUGGGUAAUCUGCCCUGUACUCUGGGAUAAGCCUGGGAAACUGGGUCUAAUACCGGAUAUGACCUUUCACCGCAUGGUGGGGGGUGGAAAGUUCCGGCGGUAUGGGAUGAACCCGCGGCCUAUCAGCUUGUUGGUGGGGUAAUGGCCUACCAAGGCGAAGACGCGUAGCUGGUCUGAGAGGAUGAUCAGCCACACUGGGACUGAGACACGGCCCAGACUCCUACGGGAGGCAGCAGUGGGGAAUAUUGGACAAUGGGGGCAACCCUGAUCCAGCCACGCCGCGUGAGUGAUGAAGGCCUUCGGGUCGUAAAGCUCUGUGGGGAGGGACGAACGUCCGGGUGAAGAAUCCGGGGUGACGGUACCUCCUUAGCAAGCACCGGCUAACUUCGUGCCAGCAGCCGCGGUAAUACGUAGGGUGCGAGCGUUGUCCGGAAUUAUUGGGCGUAAAGAGCUCGUAGGCGGUUUGUCGCGUCGGCUGUGAAAUCUGGAGGCUUAACCUUCAGCGUGCAGUCGAUACGGGCAGACUUGAGUUCGGCAGGGGAGACUGGAAUUCCUGGUGUAGCGGUGAAAUGCGCAGAUAUCAGGAGGAACACCGGUGGCGAAGGCGGGUCUCUGGGCCGAUACUGACGCU